This 579-nucleotide ribosomal RNA is filed under the name Vibrio parahaemolyticus. Its description in RNAcentral is "bacterial SSU rRNA". It matches the Rfam family "Bacterial small subunit ribosomal RNA", at positions 86 to 661 of the family's 1533-position model. The record is from RNAcentral. Lineage: Bacteria; Pseudomonadati; Pseudomonadota; Gammaproteobacteria; Vibrionales; Vibrionaceae.
CGGCGUCGAGCGGCGGACGGGUGAGUAAUGCCUAGGAAAUUGCCCUGAUGUGGGGGAUAACCAUUGGAAACGAUGGCUAAUACCGCAUGAUGCCUACGGGCCAAAGAGGGGGACCUUCGGGCCUCUCGCGUCAGGAUAUGCCUAGGUGGGAUUAGCUAGUUGGUGAGGUAAGGGCUCACCAAGGCGACGAUCCCUAGCUGGUCUGAGAGGAUGAUCAGCCACACUGGAACUGAGACACGGUCCAGACUCCUACGGGAGGCAGCAGUGGGGAAUAUUGCACAAUGGGCGCAAGCCUGAUGCAGCCAUGCCGCGUGUGUGAAGAAGGCCUUCGGGUUGUAAAGCACUUUCAGUCGUGAGGAAGGUGGUAGUGUUAAUAGCACUAUCAUUUGACGUUAGCGACAGAAGAAGCACCGGCUAACUCCGUGCCAGCAGCCGCGGUAAUACGGAGGGUGCGAGCGUUAAUCGGAAUUACUGGGCGUAAAGCGCAUGCAGGUGGUUUGUUAAGUCAGAUGUGAAAGCCCGGGGCUCAACCUCGGAAUUGCAUUUGAAACUGGCAGACUAGAGUACUGUAGAGGGGGG